Molecule: ribosomal RNA, 4188 nt
Filed under: Triticum aestivum (bread wheat)
Lineage: Eukaryota; Viridiplantae; Streptophyta; Magnoliopsida; Poales; Poaceae
Description: partial small subunit ribosomal RNA
Source: RNAcentral
AUGAUCACCUCGACGCAGCAGGGGUGGCUGGCGGCCGGCUACUGGCCGCUCUGGAGCACUCGUCGGAAGCUGCCGUGGCCACUAUGGUACGUCGCCGGCGGUCGUAUCCCCUUUGCCACUGGCUACGACGGCGACGGCCAAAUCUCCUCCAUUCGACGGCCAAAACUACGGCGAAAGCGCGGGCGUGGUGGCGGCCAUGUCGAAACGUGGUUUGUCAAGUGCACCCCAUCGAUCGAAUCAAUAGAAGAAUAUAUGGUACCUGAAUUGACAUCAGCAGCUGGACACUUCUUCAGAGCUGGAGCUGAAGGGAAAAGAACAUGCCCUACUGAGCGAGCUUCAUGCAAGACAGAUGCACAUUGCUCCUGCACUGUCAUUGAUGCUCCUGGACACCGUGAUUUCAUCAAGAACAUGAUCACUGGGACCUCCCGGGCUGAUUUUGCGGUGCUUAUCAUUGAAUCCACCACUGGUGGUUUUGAGGCUGGUAUCUCCAAUGAUGUCCAGACCCGUGAGCAUGCUCUCCUUGCUUUCACUCUUGGCGUCAGGCAGAUGAUCUGCUGCUGCAACAAGAUAGAUGCUACUACCCCAAAGUACUCCAGGGCUCGCUACUUUGAAAUUGUCAAUGAAGUUAGCUACUACUUGAAGAAGAAGAAGAAACGUAUUCGCAACAGAGCCUCCCAGGAACGUCUGACCGUGUUGAUUGACAAAUUCACUGACGAUCAAAAGGGAGCUGCUGCUGAGAUGGGUAUGCAGGUUCUGAUGGAUGUCCGGUGUACGAACCUUGUCAACCCGGUAUGCGACUGGCUUGGUGAGAUAUACGAUCCCGCCUCCAGGGAAUUCGUGAUCCCGGGACGGGGAAGACUUCCAUUGAAUGAGGAAUCCGUGUUCUGCACUUCGGGUGUGCCUCGGGGACAUAUCAAAGUCCCGUACGAGGUUAAUAAUGAGAUCGAGGAAGAGCUGUUCGCCCGUUUGUUUCCUGGGUUGGAGGCAAUGCCGAACACGUCUGUACUGGCAGAUUCUCUGCAGGACAUGACGACGCACGGAGAAGUUUUCAAGAUGAAGCUACUCAUGUACCUCAUCUCAGCUGUUUUCGCGCCGACCACUUCUCUUCGCCCAAGCAACAAAUGUUUCCCCAUCCUGGCGAAUCUGAAAAACGUGAAGAGUAUGAACUGGUGUAAGUUUAUUGCCGACUUUCUCCACGAUGCUUUCAAAAACAAGGUGUACCAGAAGGGUUGUCGUAUGCACUUAAUGCUCAUGUAUGUCGACGCUCUUGAUCUGUCCACCGUGGAUUUCACCGGGAUAGGAGGCCCGCCGCCUACUCACAAGUUUGCUGUUUCUGCGUGGACCAUCAGCGCUGUCAAGGCUGUGCUUGCCGCAGACAGGGCAACUGAUGGCACAUAUGGAAAACUACAGGCGAGGGCACCAGUGGAGCAUCUAAUUGGGCAGUUCGCAUCCGGAAUGAUCGGCCUGCUCAGGAAGUUGGUUGAGGGGUGGACGUCCCUCAGUGCCUCUGACAGCGACGCGGUUGCGAGGCAGUUCACUUCAUUUGAUGAUGUGGAUGGAGACGCUGGCCUCAGCAAGGACGACGACGAUGACACCGAUGACGAUGAACACGCUGAAGUUCGCACAUGCGGCAACAAGGGCAAGGAUGCAACAGGUGCCCACCCACCGGAGAAAGUGAAAGAACAUACGGCUGCGAGAGGCGAGGGGGUUUUGCCAUCAAGGAGGGGGAGGGCUCCAGAGGAUGUUGGGCAGGGUUCUGCUGGCAAGAGGUCUAGGAUCGACCCCGUAGCUGCCAGGAAGAGUGAGCCGAUCGCUGGUGGACGAGCAGCUAUGAAGAAACAGGCGCCAACGCCAACCCGUGUUUCUGCUCGCUUGAACAAAGGUGCCCCCAUUGCCGGUGACAUCCCUUCCACCAGGUCUUCUGCUCGUAUGACGACGACCAACACCGGGGAUCCUGUCGUGUUGCCUGACCUGAGGAAGGCAGUCAAGAAGGUGAAGAAGACUACUACGCGCGGGGCCAAGCAUAUCAGUAGAGACCCACUCGAACGCCUGCAUUCAAAGUUGUCAACAGGUGGCAACUCAGAUGUACAUGAGGCGCCAGGCGACAAUACUGCUGCUGCACCGUCAACUGCUCCCACUAACUCUGAUGCAAGUGGCCGACCAUCUCUGCCAGCUGCAGAUGUGCAGGCUAGAACAACAGGCAUCCGUACAUCGGGGAGUGACGAGUCGGUAUCCGCCAGGACAACUGAAAUAUUGCCAACUCUUCUGGCAAUGAAGGAUACUGCUGUGAGCCAUGCCACCCCAUCAGCAAGCGUCGAAGUGGAUGCUCCCGAGACCAACCUAGGCAAGGAAGAUUCCUGCUCAUCUGACACUGAUUCCAAGCGCGUGCCUGGUGUCUCACCUGUGUCCAUGACAGAAGCGGCUGAGGCGGCACUUCACAAGGAUAUGCCAUCUGCAGAUGAGAAUCCUGGCACAACAGCUCCAGCUCCUGUCGGUGGAGAUACUGCUAAGGCGAUCGUUCCGCGUGCUGGUCUUCCACCUAGGCGUCGUAGCCCCCGCAAGCAAUCAAUAGACACACCCAACGCUCCGGCUGUAGCUAGGAGCAGGAGAGACGAAUCUGGUUAUGUUCCUGCGUCCACACUGUUCCCGCCAUCUACAAAAAUCAAUGUGAUGGAGAAACCGCAAGACCGGAGCACAACUGAUGCAGGUGUCAAGCCGGGCACGAGUGACGCAGAGGAACGCCCGGAGCAGACUGCGCCUUCACCCGCAGCGGAAAUCCCCAGCAUAAAUCUGCGCACUUCCAGGCUCCCAGUCAAUGUCGGUGUCCCCUACAGUCCAAACAAGAAGAUUGUCAUGAAAGCUGCGGCUGAGACCGCUGACAACACGCCCCGCCCUGCAAAUAAGGCCGAUCAUUUUGUAGCGGCCGAUUCAGAUAUGCUUGUCGAUCUUUCACCCUUGGAUUCUGCCCCGAAAGUCGUUCGUGGUCCGGCCAGUAGGAAUGAGAGGCACCCAAUGGCCUUUACCCCACCGAGCUUCAGCCUCGGCGUCAGUCAAGAUCAACCGGUGGUGCACGAUCCUCUACCAGUUGCCUUUGCUUUCCCAGGAGGCAUGCCCGCAAUGAUGGCGCAGCCAAUGGUCGAGGGCAGGAAGGCUGUCAAGUUCGCAGAGCCAAUUGUGCAAGCCACCCCUGAGGAGAUUUCACCGUCACUUGAUGAAGUUUACCGCAUGAUCGAGGAGACAACAUUGCAGAGGAGUUCCUCACGAGGGCAAGGGCAAUCAAGUUCCAAUGCGCCUGCAGAUACGGUAUCUGAGGAUACCAUUAGGAGUGUCACCCCUGGUCCUGUGAGGCAGCAGAGGGUAGUUCACCCACCCCCCGCGGAAGACUACGAGCCCGAAUUCAGGGCCACUAAGGAACAGACCCAGCUGUACGAUAUCGUCAAGCAUUUUGGAAAUGCAAGGACCAACAGCAAGCACAUGAAGGAGCUGAAAGCAACGAAAGUCAUUCAGUGCGGAGCGACGUACGUCGACCUGGGUGAUCUUGCCGAGUCCAUGAGGCCAAACGGAAAAAUGUCGACGAAUGUAGUUGCAUGCGGGAUCGACUACAUCAACAAUCACACCGAUGUAUGCGCCGACAAGAUAAUCAUGCAUUACAGUGUGACCUGCAAAAUAUGGGAUGGUGACUUCCACCACAAAAUCCUGAGGAACAAUUUUGCACAACACGGUGACUUCAAGCUCACACUGAAGAAAUAUGUCAUGUUCCCCAUGUUCCAGGAGCUUGCACCACACGACCGACACGACAAGUGUGGUCACCACUAUGCGGUCUGUCUUGAGCUGAAGAACCAACGUAUCGAGGUGCUUGAUUCAAUCCGUUCGGAAGCUGAUGCAGACCUUACUACGCAUGCUGAACUCUUCAUCAAGAACCUCAAAGAGACUUGGAACCGUCACUACGAACAUUCAAAGGUCCAGAUCAGGCAUUUCCCGACUGAGACGGACUGUGGCUUUCACGCGCUGGAAUACUUUGCAAAGUGGGAAGGCAGAAUUGUCCCCGCUAUCACAGAUGCAACGGUCGUUGAGCUCCGAAAAAUCUGCACAUGGAACUGGCUGACGAAUGAAGAUUUCAACAAGCGGUCCGGAGCACGCGAGUUCGUGGAGGAAGCUGUCAAGCAAGUCAUCAAGAAGUACAAGUGA